AGAGUUUGAUCAUGGCUCAGAUUGAACGCUGGCGGCAGGCCUACACAUGCAAGUCGAACGGUAACAGGAAACAGCUUGCUGUUUCGCUGACGAGUGGCGGACGGGUGAGUAAUGUCUGGGAAACUGCCUGAUGGAGGGGGAUAACUACUGGAAACGGUAGCUAAUACCGCAUAACGUCGCAAGACCAAAGAGGGGGACCUUCGGGCCUCUUGCCAUCAGAUGUGCCCAGAUGGGAUUAGCUAGUAGGUGGGGUAACGGCUCACCUAGGCGACGAUCCCUAGCUGGUCUGAGAGGAUGACCAGCCACACUGGAACUGUGACACGGUCCAGACUCCUAUGGGAGGCAGCAGUGGGGAAUAUUGCACAAUGGGCGCAAGCCUGAUGCAGCCAUGCCGCGUGUAUGAAGAAGGCCUUCGGGUUGUAAAGUACUUUCAGCGGGGAGGAAGGGAGUAAAGUUAAUACCUUUGCUCAUUGACGUUACCCGCAGAAGAAGCACCGGCUAACUCCGUGCCAGCAGCCGCGGUAAUACGGAGGGUGCAAGCGUUAAUCGGAAUUACUGGGCGUAAAGCGCACGCAGGCGGUUUGUUAAGUCAGAUGUGAAAUCCCCGGGCUCAACCUGGGAACUGCAUCUGAUACUGGCAAGCUUGAGUCUCGUAGAGGGGGGUAGAAUUCCAGGUGUAGCGGUGAAAUGCGUAGAGAUCUGGAGGAAUACCGGUGGCGAAGGCGGCCCCCUGGACGAAGACUGACGCUCAGGUGCGAAAGCGUGGGGAGCAAACAGGAUUAGAUACCCUGGUAGUCCACGCCGUAAACGAUGUCGACUUGGAGGUUGUGCCCUUGAGGCGUGGCUUCCGGAGCUAACGCGUUAAGUCGACCGCCUGGGGAGUACGGCCGCAAGGUUAAAACUCAAAUGAAUUGACGGGGGCCCGCACAAGCGGUGGAGCAUGUGGUUUAAUUCGAUGCAACGCGAAGAACCUUACCUGGUCUUGACAUCCACGGAAGUUUUCAGAGAUGAGAAUGUGCCUUCGGGAACCGUGAGACAGGUGCUGCAUGGCUGUCGUCAGCUCGUGUUGUGAAAUGUUGGGUUAAGUCCCGCAACGAGCGCAACCCUUAUCCUUUGUUGCCAGCGGUCCGGCCGGGAACUCAAAGGAGACUGCCAGUGAUAAACUGGAGGAAGGUGGGGAUGACGUCAAGUCAUCAUGGCCCUUACGACCAGGGCUACACACGUGCUACAAUGGCGCAUACAAAGAGAAGCGACCUCGCGAGAGCAAGCGGACCUCAUAAAGUGCGUCGUAGUCCGGAUUGGAGUCUGCAACUCGACUCCAUGAAGUCGGAAUCGCUAGUAAUCGUGGAUCAGAAUGCCACGGUGAAUACGUUCCCGGGCCUUGUACACACCGCCCGUCACACCAUGGGAGUGGGUUGCAAAAGAAGUAGGUAGCUUAACCUUCGGGAGGGCGCUUACCACUUUGUGAUUCAUGACUGGGGUGAAGUCGUAACAAGGUAACCGUAGGGGAACCUGCGGUUG
This 1521-nucleotide ribosomal RNA is filed under the name metagenome. Its description in RNAcentral is "bacterial SSU rRNA". It matches the Rfam family "Bacterial small subunit ribosomal RNA". The record is from RNAcentral.